This 1559-nucleotide ribosomal RNA is filed under the name metagenome. RNAcentral describes it as "bacterial LSU rRNA". It matches the Rfam family "Bacterial large subunit ribosomal RNA", at positions 1339 to 2925 of the family's 2925-position model. The record is from RNAcentral.
AAAUAUCCAAGGUUUCCAGAGUAAAGCUGAUCUGCUCUGGGUAAGUCGGGACCUAAGGAGAGGUCGAAAGACGUAUCCGAUGGACAACAGGUUUAGAUUCCUGUACCACAUAUGAACAGAACUGUGGGGACGCAUGUGGAGAGCACGAGCCGGGAAUGGAAAUACCGGUACAAGCGGAGAAGGAGUCUGGUUGGCAAAUCCGCCAGGCAAUCCGAAGACGUGAUGUGGAGCGAAUUAGAGUAGCGAAGCGUGUGAGCCAUGUGCCGAGAAAAGCCGCUAUUGUUUCAUGUGUGCCCGUACCGUAAACCGACACAGGUGGAUGAGGAGAGAAUCCUAAGGCCGGCGGAAGAAGCAUUGUUAAGGAACUCGGCAAAAUGACCCCGUAACUUCGGGAGAAGGGGUGCCUGCUAACGCAGGCCGCAGAGAAUAGGCUCAAGCAACUGUUUAGCAAAAACACAGGUCUAUGCGAAACCGAAAGGUGAAGUAUAUGGGCUGACGCCUGCCCGGUGCUGGAAGGUAAGAGGAGAGGUUAGCGCAAGCGAAGCUUUGAAUUUAAGCCCCAGUAAACGGCGGCCGUAACAAUAACGGUCCUAAGGUAGCGAAAUUCCUUGUCGGGUAAGUUCCGACCCGCACGAAAGGCGUAAUGAUUUGAGCACUGUCUCGACAAUGCAUCCGGUGAAAUUGAAGUACCAUUGAAGAUGCUGGUUACCCGCGCCAGGACGGAAAGACCCCAUGGAGCUUUACUCCAGUUUGGUACUGGGAUUCGGUACUGCAUGUACAGGAUAGGUGGGAGACUAAGAACUUGGGACGCCAGUUUCAAGGGAGUCGCUGUUGGGAUACCACCCUUGCAGUAUUGGACUUCUAACCAGCCGCCGUGAUCCGGCGGUGGGACAAUGCCAGGCGGGGAGUUUGACUGGGGCGGUCGCCUCCGAAAGGGUAUCGGAGGCGCUCAAAGGUUCCCUCAGAAUGGUUGGAAACCAUUUGAAGAGUGCAAAGGCAGAAGGGAGCUUGACUGCGACACCGACGGGUGGAGCAGGUAGGAAGCUAGGACUUAGUGAUCCGGUGGCAUAAAGUGGGAUUGCCAUCGCUCAACGGAUAAAAGCUACCCUGGGAUAACAGGCUUAUCACUCCCAAGAGUUCACAUCGACGGAGUGGUUUGGCACCUCGAUGUCGGCUCAUCGCAUCCUGGGGCUGUAGCAGGUCCCAAGGGUUGGGCUGUUCGCCCAUUAAAGCGGUACGCGAGCUGGGUUCAGAAUGUCGUGAGACAGUUCGGUCCCUAUCCGGCGCGGGCGGAGGAUAUUUGAGAGGAGCUGUCCUUAGUACGAGAGGACCGGGAUGGACGGACCACUGGUGUAUCUGCUGUCGACCAACGGCAUGGCAGAGUAGCCAAGUCCGGAAGGGAUAAACGCUGAAGGCAUCUAAGCGUGAAGCCCCCCUCAAGAUGAGAUAUCCCUCACAUAAGUGAGUAAGAUCCCUUGAAGACUACAAGGUAGAUAGGGCAGAGGUGGAAGCACGGUAACGUGUGGAGCUGACUGUUACUAAUCGAUCGAGGGCUUGAC